GCCAGCCGCGCGUGGCUCCGGAAACAGCCGAAGGCCGAGCGAGCGCCGAGCACAGCCGAGCGCAGCCUGCAGGCCGGAAGAAGCGGCGCGGCGGCCGCUUGAAAAGCUAGCUGACCCAGGGGCGGCCACAGGAGCUCUGGCCCGCUGAGGCUGGCGAUGAGGCCGCAGGGAGGGUUACUGCGUGCUUCUGACAGACGAUUUUUAAAGUCAGGGCUUGAAAGAACAAACAAAACCUGGGGAAGAGUCAGGAAGACACUGCCGGAAAUCGUGGUAUCCAUAGAGACGCUAUCGGAAGUUGGGGUUGCUAGGAAGCCGCGGCGCGUCUGCUAAGCUGCAAAUGGCUGAAGUCCCGGAGGAUUAUGAUUCCGGCCCAGAUGAAGAUGGAGAGCCGGAGCCUGAGAGGCCUGAACUGCCUGGACUUCAUAAAUUGUAUGAAAAUGCCGAACCAGACACCAUGGCAAAGGCAGACUCGAAGCUACCAGCAGAGAUUUACCAAGAGCCACAGCCAGAGACCGAGGAAGAGGACUUCAAAGAGGGGGAGCCAGAGAGUGCUAAGAACGUGCAGCUGAAACCUGGCGGGACGUCCCAGGAAGGAAUUGCCAAGGAGUCCAAGAGAGUCGUACCAAGCGAAACUGAACCAGGGAUACACCAAGAGGUAAAGUCGGAAACAUCCAGAGAGAUGGGAGAGUUUUUCAAAGAUUUGGAGGCCCCUAUGGAUGAAACGCAUAAAGAGUCAGACCUAGAGCCACCAGAGGAGGCUAAACCAAAUGUUACAGAGGAUGUGUUCCUAGAGUCAGCUAUGGAAACAGAUCCAGAUCCAGUGCCACCAACGGAAACCAUGUCUGAGGUUUCGGGGGCCACAGUCAGAGAGAUAAAUUUAGAAUUACUAGAGGAGGAGACUGAACCGGGGGUUCCAGAGGAAUCACUUAGAGUGCAACAUGAAGAGACAGGUCUAGAGCCUCCAGAGCAGACCAAACCAGAUUUUCCAAGUGAGAAACUAGGAGAAUCACUUGAAGAGACAGAUCUUCAGCCACCAAAGAUGACCAAACCAGAGAUUCCAGAGGAGACACAAAGAGAGUCAACUGAGAAGAAAAGGACAGAGCCACCCGAGCAGGCUAGACUGGAAUUUCCGGAGAAGGAACCAAGAAAGUCUAGUGAGGAGGCAGGUCUAGAGCCUCCAGAAGAGACUCAACCAGAGGUUCCAGAGGAGAUGCAAAGAAAGGCAACUGAGGAGAAAGGGACAGAACUACCUGAGUGGACUAAACCAGACUUUCCAGACCACAAGCCAAGAAAGUCUACUGAUGAGAACGUUCCUGAGCCACUAGAAGAGAUCAAAUUAGAGUUUCCUGAGGAAGAAUCAAGAAAACCAAAUGAGGAAACAAUUCUAGAACAAUCAGAAAUGAUGAAACCAGAAAGUCCAGAAGAGAUAAGAAAGUCAAAUGAGGAAAAAAAUCCACAGCCACCAGAGGAGACUGGUCCAGUGCUACCACAGGAGAUCAACCCACAAGUUGAAGAGAAAACACAAACAAAGCCAACUGAGGAGAAAAUUCUAGAGUUACCAGAUGAAACCAAACCGAGAGAGACACAUGUAGAAUUUUCCAAGGAAGAAAGGCCAGAACCAAUAAAGUCUAAGUAUUCUGUAAGAAACGAUGAGCUAGAGCACCGUGAGCCUAAAAGAGGAAAGUUGUCACUAAGUGACGAAUUUAGAAAAGAAUAUUACGCAUUAGGAUCUCUCAGAGAAAGUGAAGAAUCAGUUGGUACACAUGAUGAGUUUCUGCAACCACUCCAAAAAUUGCUUAAUGUCAGUGAAGAAUGCUCAUACUCAGAUCCGUCAGAGUCUCAGACAGAAUUAAGUGAGUUCGUUCAUGAAAAGGAAGUUGUAGAUUUGUCCCAAGAGUUGAAGGAACGGGUCUCUGAAGAUGACAAAACCCAGCCAGAAAAAGGGACUGAGUUACAAUUUGAGCAUCUUAAUUGGGAUCCAGAGGAAGUUGCAGAGUGGAUUAGCCAGCUAGGCUUCCCUCAAUACAAGGUAUACAAAAAUAAGAUGUUUUGAAAUCACAUGCUGUCAUCCGUCUACUUCUUAUUCCUUCUAACCUGGCCUGAGCUCUUACCUCUUUACCGGAAGGAGUAUCAAAAAGUCCUGGACUGUGGUAGAGGAGUGUUUUAUCACAAACUUCAUCAGUGGCCGAAAACUCAUUCACGUCAACUGCUCAAACCUCCCUCAGAUGGGGAUAACAAACUUUGAGGACAUGAAGGCAAUUUCUCGGCAUACGCGGGAGCUCCUGGAAAUUGAAGAGCCAUUAUUCAAACGCUCCAUCAGCCUUCCCUAUAGGGAUAUUAUCGGCUUAUAUUUAGAGCAAAAAGGUCAUACUGGGAUAAAAUCUGAUUCCUUGACUUUAUCUGAAUUGGUCAAAGCAGCAGGAUUACAGGAUUAUGCUCCAGAAAUAACUGCCCCUGAAGAGAAUGAGGAAUUACCUUGCACUGAACCAUAGGGGAAAUCCACUUCACAGAGCUUGAAAGAUCAAACUAAAUUACUUGAGGGAAGAGG
Pan troglodytes (chimpanzee) is the source of this 2548-nucleotide RNA transcript. It is a transcript of the gene named sterile alpha motif domain containing 15, with no coding region annotated. Lineage: Eukaryota; Metazoa; Chordata; Mammalia; Primates; Hominidae. The transcript is spliced from 3 exons. The record is from RefSeq and is marked provisional.